RNAcentral lists this non-coding RNA (125 nucleotides) under Streptomyces longwoodensis. RNAcentral's name for it is "Streptomyces RNA 5676". It matches the Rfam family "Streptomyces RNA 5676". From Rfam's summary of the family: Identified by deep sequencing of transcriptome at the end of exponential growth phase. Appears longer on northern blot than sequencing transcript. This indicates processing step. The record is from Rfam by way of RNAcentral. Lineage: Bacteria; Bacillati; Actinomycetota; Actinomycetes; Kitasatosporales; Streptomycetaceae.
AGAUGAGAGAUACACCCGCUCACAGGGGACUGUGGGCGACAUCAGGCCGGGGCCUCCCCAGCUCCGGUCUGGCCGUGCCCUCGCGCACACCGGAGCCGUGAGGCUCCGCAUCUCCACCGAUCGGA